This 495-nucleotide ribosomal RNA is filed under the name uncultured bacterium. Its description in RNAcentral is "partial 16S ribosomal RNA". It matches the Rfam family "Bacterial small subunit ribosomal RNA", at positions 28 to 507 of the family's 1533-position model. The record is from RNAcentral.
GACGAACGCUGGCGGCGUGCCUAAUACAUGCAAGUAGAACGCUGAAGGAGGAGCUUGCUUCUCUGGAUGAGUUGCGAACGGGUGAGUAACGCGUAGGUAACCUGCCUGGUAGCGGGGGAUAACUAUUGGAAACGAUAGCUAAUACCGCAUAAUAGCAGUUAUUGCAUGAUAACUGUUUGAAAGGUGCAAUUGCACCACUACCAGAUGGACCUGCGUUGUAUUAGCUAGUUGGUGGGGUAACGGCUCACCAAGGCGACGAUACAUAGCCGACCUGAGAGGGUGAUCGGCCACACUGGGACUGAGACACGGCCCAGACUCCUACGGGAGGCAGCAGUAGGGAAUCCUCGGCAAUGGACGGAAGUCUGACCGAGCAACGCCGCGUGAGUGAAGAAGGUUUUCGGAUCGUAAAGCUCUGUUGUAAGAGAAGAACGAGUGUGAGAGUGGAAAGUUCACACUGUGACGGUAUCUUACCAGAAAGGGACGGCUAACUACGUG